GGGCCGUUAGCUCAACUGGCAGAGCAGCGGACUCUUAAUCCGCGGGUUGGGGGUUCGAGUCCCUCACGGCCCACAA
This 76-nucleotide transfer RNA is filed under the name Candidatus Acetothermia bacterium. Its description in RNAcentral is "tRNA-Lys". It matches the Rfam family "tRNA". From Rfam's summary of the family: Transfer RNA (tRNA) molecules are approximately 80 nucleotides in length. Their secondary structure includes four short double-helical elements and three loops (D, anti-codon, and T loops). Lineage: Bacteria; Candidatus Bipolaricaulota. The record is from RNAcentral.